RNAcentral lists this ribosomal RNA (612 nucleotides) under Flavobacterium sp. B417_1. Its description in RNAcentral is "bacterial SSU rRNA". It matches the Rfam family "Bacterial small subunit ribosomal RNA", at positions 152 to 762 of the family's 1533-position model. The record is from RNAcentral. Lineage: Bacteria; Pseudomonadati; Bacteroidota; Flavobacteriia; Flavobacteriales; Flavobacteriaceae.
AGAAAUUUGGAUUAAUACCUCAUAGUAUAUAUGAAUGGCAUCAUUUAUAUAUUAAAGUCACAACGGUGAAAGAUGAGCAUGCGUCCCAUUAGCUAGUUGGUAAGGUAACGGCUUACCAAGGCAACGAUGGGUAGGGGUCCUGAGAGGGAGAUCCCCCACACUGGUACUGAGACACGGACCAGACUCCUACGGGAGGCAGCAGUGAGGAAUAUUGGACAAUGGGCGCAAGCCUGAUCCAGCCAUGCCGCGUGCAGGAUGACGGUCCUAUGGAUUGUAAACUGCUUUUAUACGAGAAGAAACACUCCGACGUGUCGGAGCUUGACGGUAUCGUAAGAAUAAGGAUCGGCUAACUCCGUGCCAGCAGCCGCGGUAAUACGGAGGAUCCAAGCGUUAUCCGGAAUCAUUGGGUUUAAAGGGUCCGUAGGCGGUCAGGUAAGUCAGUGGUGAAAGCCCAUCGCUCAACGGUGGAACGGCCAUUGAUACUGUCUGACUUGAAUUAUUAGGAAGUAACUAGAAUAUGUAGUGUAGCGGUGAAAUGCUUAGAGAUUACAUGGAAUACCAAUUGCGAAGGCAGGUUACUACUAAUGGAUUGACGCUGAUGGACGAAAGCGU